Hipposideros armiger (great roundleaf bat) is the source of this 1196-nucleotide long non-coding RNA. RefSeq lists it as uncharacterized. The record is from RefSeq and is a predicted model, not a curated record. NCBI's taxonomy places the organism in Eukaryota, Metazoa, Chordata, Mammalia, Chiroptera, Hipposideridae. The transcript has 3 exons.
CAAAGCCCAAUUCCCUCAAGACUGCGCAGUUUGGCUCAUCACCAGAGAACCUGUGCCUCCUCUGAGACCAAGGCAUCACUUCAGUAACAGAUCAACUGCCGCAGCUGAGAAGGAGGUGAAUUUGAUAAAGAUAACAUGGAAGUUUUAGCAACAGGUCUGGGUGUUGCCAAGGGUGCUCUCCCAGAAGUUCUAGGCCUGACCAUGCAUGCUCCUGGCAGCUUCCUGAUUUCCCUGAUGGCUGGCCACAUCUUCCAGGAAGAUCUCACCUCCCCACUGAAGCCCCUGGCCUGGCCUCCUGCAGUGCCACGCUCCGUGUAUUUGACAAGCUGAGUUGGACACUCCAUGUGGUAGAGUGUCAGUUUGUCAAAUACCCCAAGUGCGGCACAUGCCUAGCAGCUUCAGGCCAGGGAAGUUGAGAUAUGACAAAUAGACUAUCAACUGGAUAAAAGAACACAUGUCAAAUAUCAACUAAGCUCUCACAAGUCAUUUUUGGUGAUUUUGAGGGAAUGGAAGCAUUGUAUCUGAGGGGAAGUGUGGAAAAGUAAGACAGCUCUGGAAGCCAUAGCCCUGGGCAGUGUCUAUACAUAUAUUGGGAUCCUGAGAGGGAUACAAUAGUCUUGAAAAGGUAUCCAGGGCCCAGGGAUGAAAGUGCUACUUGAUUCUUUACUUUCUUCCUUCACGCUUCCUUCCAGAGUCCCCCAGCAAGGACACCAGAAUUCUUACCCAAGCGUCAUGACAGGGCUUAGAAACUCACUUUCCUGACACUCAACUUUGGCUUCUAAGCACACUUUGACCUCACCUAUCUCUCUCCUUUUCCUCAUGCCUUUUCGCCUUCUGGGAAUACCAUCUUCAUUUCUUUCUGCCUAUCUAAUUCUUUCCCGUAUGUCCUGGUUCAGCCAAAGUCCAAUCUUUCCAGGGACUUCUGAAAGUCAAUGUACACUUUUUCCUUCUUUAUUCUCAAAGCACAUCUUCCCUGGGUCCUUGUAUGUAAACCUUUAUUUCCUACUGCCCAAUGACAGCCCUUGAAUUGUUAGUGAACUUUUUCAGAGGAUAUUUUUAAAUUCCCCACUAGAUUGUGUGCUUCUAGAGGACAAGAUUAUGUUUCCUUGAUUGCUAUCUCUCCAUUCCAUCCCUACCCCAGAUCCCAGCACAAUACUCUGAUUACAGAAAAUACUCAAUAAAUGUUUACUGAUUGA